GGCUCCUCGUAAAACUUAGAUGGGGAGUCGGACCUGCCCGGUGAAUUUUUAACGGCCGCGGUACUCCGACCGUGCAAAGGUAGCAUAAUCAUUUGCCUUAUAAUUGAAGGCUAGUAUGAAUGGUUUGACAAGAGUAUAGCUGUCUCUUUAUGAUUCNNUAGAACUUUACUUUUGGGUGAAGAGGCCCACCUACGAUUAAAAGACAAGAAGACCCUAUCGAGCUUUAAAGGAAUUAAUAGGAUGUUCGUUAAUGAGAUCAAAAAUCUUUCUAUUAAAAUUUUUAGUUGGGGCGACUGAGGAACAAAAAAAGCUUCCUUUAAAACUUAGUUAUUUAUAUAUAAUGAUCCAAAAGAUUUGAUUAAAAAAAUUAGUUACCGUAGGGAUAACAGCAUUAUCUUUUUUAAGAGUUCAUAUCGAAAAAAAGGUUUGUGACCUCGAUGUUGGACCAGAAUAUCCUAAAGAUGCAGAAGUCUUUAAGGGUUGGUCUGUUCGACCAUUAAAAUUCUACG
Molecule: ribosomal RNA, 509 nt
Filed under: Nodolatirus nodatus
Lineage: Eukaryota; Metazoa; Mollusca; Gastropoda; Neogastropoda; Fasciolariidae
Description: partial 16S ribosomal RNA
Rfam family: Bacterial large subunit ribosomal RNA
Source: RNAcentral